AUUGAACGCUGGCGGCAGGCCUAACACAUGCAAGUCGAGCGAGCGGCGGACGGGUGAGUAAUGUCUGGGAAACUGCCUGAUGGAGGGGUAUAACUACUGUAAACGGUAGCUACUACCGCAUACCAUCAGAUGUGCCCAGAGGGGAUUAGCUAGCAGGUGGGGUAUUGGCUCACCUAGGCGACGAUCCCUAGCUGGUCUGAGAGGAUGACCAGCCACACUGGAACUGAGACACGGUCCAGACUCCUACGGGAGGCAGCAGUGGGGAAUAUUGCACAAUGGGCGAAAGCCUGAUGCAGCCAUGCCGCGUGUGUGAAGAAGGCCUUCGGGUUGUAAAGCACUUUCAGCGAGGAGGCGUUACUCGCAGAAGAAGCAACGGCUAACUCCGUGCCAGCCGCCGCGGUAAUUC
This 406-nucleotide ribosomal RNA is filed under the name uncultured bacterium. Its description in RNAcentral is "partial 16S ribosomal RNA". It matches the Rfam family "Bacterial small subunit ribosomal RNA", at positions 30 to 526 of the family's 1533-position model. The record is from RNAcentral.